GACGAACGCUGGCGGCGUGCUUAACACAUGCAAGUCGAACGGAAAGGCCCUGCUUUUGUGGGGUGCUCGAGUGGCGAACGGGUGAGUAACACGUGAGUAACCUGCCCUUGACUUUGGGAUAACUUCAGGAAACUGGGGCUAAUACCCGAUAGGAGCUCCUGCUGCAUGGUGGGGGUUGGAAAGUUUCGGCGGUUGGGGAUGGACUCGCGGCUUAUCAGCUUGUUGGUGGGGUAGUGGCUUACCAAGGCUUUGACGGGUAGCCGGCCUGAGAGGGUGACCGGCCACAUUGGGACUGAGAUACGGCCCGGACUCCUACGGGAGGCAGCAGUGGGGAAUAUUGCACAAUGGGCGGAAGCCUGAUGCAGCAACGCCGCGUGCGGGAUGACGGCCUUCGGGUUGUAAACCGCUUUCGCCUGUGACGAAGCGUGAGUGACGGUAAUGGGUAAAGAAGCACCGGCUAACUACGUGCCAGCAGCCGCGGUGAUACGUAGGGUGCGAGCGUUGUCCGGAUUUAUUGGGCGUAAAGGGCUCGUAGGUGGUUGAUCGCGUCGGAAGUGUAAUCUUGGGGCUUAACCCUGAGCGUGCUUUCGAUACGGGUUGACUUGAGGAAGGUAGGGGAGAAUGGAAUUCCUGGUGGAGCGGUGGAAUGCGCAGAUAUCAGGAGGAACACCAGUGGCGAAGGCGGUUCUCUGGGCCUUUCCUGACGCUGAGGAGCGAAAGCGUGGGGAGCGAACAGGCUUAGAUACCCUGGUAGUCCACGCUGUAAACGGUGGGUACUAGGUGUGGGGUCCAUUCCACGGGUUCCGUGCCGUAGCUAACGCUUUAAGUACCCCGCCUGGGGAGUACGGCCGCAAGGCUAAAACUCAAAGGAAUUGACGGGGCCCCGCACAAGCGGCGGAGCAUGCGGAUUAAUUCGAUGCAACGCGUAGAACCUUACCUGGGUUUGACAUGGAUCGGGAGUGCUCAGAGAUGGGUGUGCCUCUUUUGGGGUCGGUUCACAGGUGGUGCAUGGCUGUCGUCAGCUCGUGUCGUGAGAUGUUGGGUUAAGUCCCGCAACGAGCGCAACCCUUGUUCACUGUUGCCAGCACGUUAUGGUGGGGACUCAGUGGAGACCGCCGGGGUCAACUCGGAGGAAGGUGGGGAUGACGUCAAGUCAUCACGCCCCUUAUGUCCAGGGCUUCACGCAUGCUACAAUGGCCGGUACAGAGAGUGGCGAGCCUGUGAGGGUGAGCGAAUCUCGGAAAGCCGGUCUCAGUUCGGAUUGGGGUCUGCAACUCGACCUCAUGAAGUCGGAGUCGCUAGUAAUCGCAGAUCAGCAACGCUGCGGUGAAUACGUUCCCGGGGCU
This 1346-nucleotide ribosomal RNA is filed under the name uncultured bacterium. RNAcentral's name for it is "partial 16S ribosomal RNA". It matches the Rfam family "Bacterial small subunit ribosomal RNA", at positions 28 to 1381 of the family's 1533-position model. The record is from RNAcentral.